UGGGGAAUAUUGCACAAUGGGCGCAAGCCUGAUGCAGCCAUGCCGCGUGUAUGAAGAAGGCCUUCGGGUUGUAAAGUACUUUCAGCGGGGAGGAAGGGAGUAAAGUUAAUACCUUUGCUCAUUGACGUUACCCGCAGAAGAAGCACCGGCUAACUCCGUGCCAGCAGCCGCGGUAAUACGGAGGGUGCAAGCGUUAAUCGGAAUUACUGGGCGUAAAGCGCACGCAGGCGGUUUGUUAAGUCAGAUGUGAAAUCCCCGGGCUCAACCUAGGAACUGCAUCUGAUACUGGCAAGCUUGAGUCUCGUAGAGGGGGGUAGAAUGCCAGGUGUAGCGGUGAAAGGCGUAGAGAUCGGGAGGAAUACCGGUGGCGAAGGCGGCCCCCUGGACGAAGACUGACGCUCAGGUGCGAAAGCGUGGGGAGCAAACAGG
This 429-nucleotide ribosomal RNA is filed under the name Chloroflexota bacterium. RNAcentral's name for it is "Chloroflexi bacterium partial 16S ribosomal RNA". It matches the Rfam family "Bacterial small subunit ribosomal RNA", at positions 355 to 776 of the family's 1533-position model. Lineage: Bacteria; Bacillati; Chloroflexota. The record is from RNAcentral.